ACCUACGGGGCGCAGCAGUGGGGGAUAUUGCACAAUGGGGGGAACCCUGAUGCAGCGACGCCGCGUGGGUGAAGGAGUGCUUCGGCAUGUAAAGCCCUAUCGGCAGGGAAGAAGCAAGACGGUACCUGACUAAGAAGCCCCGGCUAACUACGUGCCAGCAGCCGCGGUAAUACGUAGGGGGCAAGCGUUAUCCGGAUUUACUGGGUGUAAAGGGAGCGUAGACGGCAAUACAAGUCGGAAGUGAAAUACCCGGGCUCAACCUGGGAAUUGCUUUGGAAACUGUAUGGCUGGAGUGCUGGAGAGGG
Molecule: ribosomal RNA, 305 nt
Filed under: uncultured bacterium
Lineage: Bacteria
Description: bacterial SSU rRNA
Rfam family: Bacterial small subunit ribosomal RNA
Source: RNAcentral